UACGUAGGGCGCAAGCGUUGUCCGGAAUUAUUGGGCGUAAAGAGCUCGUAGGCGGUCUAUCGCGUCGGCUGUGAAAACCCGGAGCUCAACUCCGGGCCUGCAGUCGAUACGGGCAAACUGGAGUGUUGCAGGGGAGACUGGAAUUCCUGGUGUAGCGGUGAAAUGCGCAGAUAUCAGGAGGAACACCGGUGGCGAAGGCGGGUCUCUGGGCCGAUACUGACGCUGAGGAGCGAAAGCGUGGGGAGCGAACAGG
RNAcentral lists this ribosomal RNA (253 nucleotides) under uncultured bacterium. RNAcentral's name for it is "partial 16S ribosomal RNA". It matches the Rfam family "Bacterial small subunit ribosomal RNA", at positions 524 to 776 of the family's 1533-position model. The record is from RNAcentral.